Molecule: ribosomal RNA, 386 nt
Filed under: uncultured bacterium
Lineage: Bacteria
Description: bacterial SSU rRNA
Rfam family: Bacterial small subunit ribosomal RNA
Source: RNAcentral
AGCGAACGUUAGCGGCGGGCUUAACACAUGCAAGUCGCACGAGAACGAGGGGGCGAACUCCUCUAGUAAAGUGGCGCACGGGUGCGUAACACGUAGGUGAACUACCCUCCGAUGGGGGACAACCGGCCGAAGGGACUGGCUAAUACCGCGUAAGUCAACGGGGCAUUCGGGCUCUGUUGGGAAAGCGGCCCUCUUCACGAAAGGUCGCGUCGGAGGUUGUGCCUGCGGCCCAUCAGCUAGUUGGUGAGGAAUGGCUCACCAAGGCUAAGACGGGUAGCUGGUCUGAGNGGAUGAUCAGCCACACUGGAACUGAGACACGGUCCAGACUCCUACGGGAGGCAGCAGUAGGGGAAUAUUGGACAAUGGGCGCAAGCCUGAUCCAGCCA